UACGGGGGGGGCAAGCGUUGUUCGGAAUUACUGGGCGUAAAGGGCUCGUAGGCGGCCAACUAAGUCAUACGUGAAAUCCCUCGGCUUAACCGGGGAACUGCGUCUGAUACUGGAUGGCUUGGGUUCGGGAGAGGGAUGUGGAAUUCCAGGUGUAGCGGUGAAAUGCGUAGAUAUCUGGAGGAACACCGGUGGCGAAGGCGGCAUCCUGGACCGACACUGACGCUGAGGCGCGAAAGCUAGGGUAGCAAACGGG
This 253-nucleotide ribosomal RNA is filed under the name uncultured bacterium. RNAcentral's name for it is "partial 16S ribosomal RNA". It matches the Rfam family "Bacterial small subunit ribosomal RNA", at positions 524 to 776 of the family's 1533-position model. The record is from RNAcentral.